RNAcentral lists this non-coding RNA (32 nucleotides) under Mus musculus (house mouse). The record is from RNAcentral. Lineage: Eukaryota; Metazoa; Chordata; Mammalia; Rodentia; Muridae.
UGCUGACGUUCGUAGGAGAUUAGGAACCCAUG